CCCCUCGGCCNUGCAGAGCUCGUGACGGCGGGUUCCUGCUUCUCCCGAAAACCCAGCCUGGCUGGCAUCUUCCCCGCUGGCUCAGCCGGCUCCCGUGCACAAAAGCAGCAGUUUCUGCCCCUUCCUGUGGGACCGAGGGCUUCUCCCGCGCUGCUCCUGCCUGUUUAGGGUGGCUCCAGGCUCCUGUGUUGCACAGCUCAGGUGCCACCCUCGGUUGAGCUGGGUCCCACCAGCAUGACUGCAUCCUCUGGGCACCGUGGGCACAACCUCAGCCUUGCACCCAGCAGAAGCCAAGCGCCUGCUCCCCGCCCCACCCAAGCACAGGGCCCGAGAACAACCUCCUUCCUCCUCCCAAAAGCCGACAGCCCUCUUAAGGCUGUUUUCAUCAGCUUUCGCUUCGCCCAUCAGGCCGGCCUCAGCCGCAUCCCCACUUCUGCACUGCUGGGAACCCCCCGCAGCCAGAGCCCCAGCAAAAACCACACAAGGAGCUGAGAAGGCUCCAGAACUGGUUUCAUCAACUUUUCAAGCUUGGGAGAUCAUCGAGUGUCUGGCAGUGACGCUGACAGUAAUCACCUCUGCGGGAGGUGACUAAAACCAAAGAGAAGAAAAGACGACGAAUGUGCAAAUGACAGGGGCAGAAACAGCUGUCCCGUUGGUAAUCUUCACUGUAGAGAUGCUUUUGGAGA
RNAcentral lists this long non-coding RNA (686 nucleotides) under Buteo japonicus. RNAcentral describes it as "lncRNA (ENSBJAG00000001582.1)". Lineage: Eukaryota; Metazoa; Chordata; Aves; Accipitriformes; Accipitridae. The record is from RNAcentral.